GAAGUUACCAACUUCCGGGAAGGGUGGAAGUAGUUUGGUUUAUGCUUUCUAUGCAGUCCAUGAAAUUAAAAGGAGGAGUGGGGGUUGGAUGAGCCAUGGACCAAAAGAGAAAAGUGCUGGCUUUGGUUAUAAAGUUAUUGGCCAGAUGGAGAUUUCUUGUUCUGAAGUUCAAAACUCAAGUGUACAUGAGCAGAAAAGCAUAUCUGUGCAA
This 211-nucleotide unclassified non-coding RNA is filed under the name Hevea brasiliensis (rubber tree). The record is from RNAcentral. Lineage: Eukaryota; Viridiplantae; Streptophyta; Magnoliopsida; Malpighiales; Euphorbiaceae.